RNAcentral lists this transfer RNA (75 nucleotides) under Sphaerodactylus townsendi. RNAcentral describes it as "tRNA-Thr". Lineage: Eukaryota; Metazoa; Chordata; Lepidosauria; Squamata; Sphaerodactylidae. The record is from RNAcentral.
GGAAGGACUGUGGCUCAGUGGCAGAGCUUCUGCUUGGUAUGCAAAAGGUCCCAGGUUCAAUUUUUAGCACCUCCA